GUAGGGUGCGAGCGUUAUCCGGGAAUCAUUGGGGCGUAAAGAGCUCGUAGGCGGUUCAGCAAGUCGGCUGUGAAAUUCCGAGGGCUCAACCUCGGAACUGCAGUCGAUACUGUUGUGACUCGAGUCCGGUAGAGGAGAAUGGAAUUCCCGGUGUAGCGGUGAAAUGCGCAGAUAUCGGGAGGAACACCAGUAGCGAAGGCGGUUCUCUGGGCCGGCACUGACGCUGAGGAGCGAAAGCGUGGGUAGCAAACAGGAUUAGAUACCCUGGUAGUCCACGCCGUAAACGUUGGAUACUAGGUGUGGCGUUCCGACCAACGGUCGCCAUGCCGAAGCUAACGCAUUAAGUAUCCCGCCUGGGGAGUACGGCCGCAAGGCUA
RNAcentral lists this ribosomal RNA (377 nucleotides) under uncultured organism. RNAcentral describes it as "partial 16S ribosomal RNA". It matches the Rfam family "Bacterial small subunit ribosomal RNA", at positions 527 to 896 of the family's 1533-position model. The record is from RNAcentral.